RNAcentral lists this ribosomal RNA (256 nucleotides) under uncultured bacterium. RNAcentral describes it as "partial 16S ribosomal RNA". It matches the Rfam family "Bacterial small subunit ribosomal RNA", at positions 524 to 776 of the family's 1533-position model. The record is from RNAcentral.
UACGUAGGUGGCAAGCGUUUGUCCGGAAUUAUUGGGCGUAAAGCGCGCGCAGGCGGUUCUUUUAAGUCUGAUGUGAAAGCCCACGGCUCAACCGUGGAGGGUCAUUGGAAACUGGGGAACUUGAGUACAGAAGAGGAAAGCGGAAUUCCACGUGUAGCGGUGAAAUGCGUAGAGAUGUGGAGGAACACCAGUGGCGAAGGCGGCUUUCUGGUCUGUAACUGACGCUGAGGCGCGAAAGCGUGGGGGAGCAAACAGG